This 252-nucleotide ribosomal RNA is filed under the name uncultured bacterium. RNAcentral's name for it is "partial 16S ribosomal RNA". It matches the Rfam family "Bacterial small subunit ribosomal RNA", at positions 524 to 776 of the family's 1533-position model. The record is from RNAcentral.
UACGGAGGAUGCGAGCGUUAUCCGGAUUUAUUGGGUUUAAAGGGUGCGUAGGCGGGCUUUUAAGUCAGCGGUAAAAAUUCGGGGCUCAACCCCGUCCGGCCGUUGAAACUGGGGGCCUUGAGUGGGCGAGAAGAAGGCGGAAUGCGUGGUGUAGCGGUGAAAUGCAUAGAUAUCACGCAGAACCCCGAUUGCGAAGGCAGCCUUCCGGCGCCCCACUGACGCUGAGGCACGAAAGUGCGGGGAUCGAACAGG